UGCCGGAGGGGUGGGCUAUCUGCUGGUGGGAGAGCUGCUAACAGGGAGUGGAACCAGCCCAGGAGAAAGAACUUUGUUGCAGUCAACAAAGAUGAAAAAGGAUUUGGAGUUCUGAAGACUGCUUUGACAUCGGACAUGGUGAUCAGAGUUUGGAGUCUGCCCAGCUGGUUUCCUGUCUUGUUUUAGGGAUUACAGUCUAUAUUCUCUUUGCCCACUCCAUGUAUUCAUUUUCCUUAUUAUUCUUGGGCAUGAGACAGGGAACUCAGAAGCCAUUGACUUCAGGUGGCUGCAUGUUGGGCAUCCUGGACCCUAGCAUCUCUCUGAAAGAAUUCACAUCAGAAGGCCUCUUUGAACUCAGGAUGAUUCUCCUACCUCAAAGAAGUCAAACCAAGCCACAGAAAAAAAGAACUAUUUUCCCAGGAAUAAACCCUCAUUCUCUUCAACUCCCA
Molecule: long non-coding RNA, 449 nt
Organism: Mastomys coucha (southern multimammate mouse)
Lineage: Eukaryota; Metazoa; Chordata; Mammalia; Rodentia; Muridae
Exons: 2
Source: RefSeq, a predicted model, not a curated record